UUGACAGGCCUAUUGGGUCAAAAGACCUAGUUUUUCUUACAUGGGCUGGGUCCAUUACAACCGAAAUCGGGCUUUGCUUUGCACUAAAACACAAUGAUCGAUUCCCAAUUUGGAAAUUUUUUGGAAUUAUAAACUGAUUGAAGAAAGAUAUACAAAGCAAUUAACAUAGAAAAGCAAAAUAAAACAAAAAAAAAAAAUGUUGUCAAAAGGGUUUAAAGUUAUGGGCUUUCAAUCAAUUUUUCCCCCUUUCUUUUUCUUUUUCCUGGUAAAAAUUUCCUCCUGUCCAGUUUUAUUUUCAAUCUUAAAAAAAUUCUUUUUUUUACUGUAAAAUAUGGGUAUUGUUUUAAUUGAUUUUAUCUCCUGUUUUUACAGCGACACUAUAAUUCGAGAGCUAGAGCAAUUGCAGCAAAUUUUUGGACACCCAACAUCGGCAAGGGUGGAGUAUUUGAUUUUUUUUUUUUUAAUUUCUUCUUUCUAUGAUCUUUGUCAGACUUUCACUGUGUAGAACGAUUCUAUUUUUAGAUAAGCAUAACUUUCUUUUUCUUAUUUGUGUUUCUUAGGCUUUAUUGUAUGUUGGUUCUGUUCUGUUUUACCCAUUUCAUUUAUUUUUAUGAUUUAAAUUGAACUACUAUGUGAAAAAGAAUAUCGAGUAUUGCCAAGUAGUAUUUUCUUUGACUAUUACCGUACAUAAUUGUCAAUCUUGUCAUUCAAUUGCUAGCUGUUAAAUUUGCUGCAAAAGAAUGAUUAUUGCAGUUUGAAUCUCUUGUUAUUAUGAGGAAGAAUGGGAGGGUGGUUGAAAAAGGGAAAUAAAAAUAAAAUGAAAUAGUUGGGUGGAAAGUGUUACCUUAUAUGGAGUUCUAGCUUGCAAUCAUCAUUUGUUUAAUUGUAAAUUUUGCAUUUUCCAACAAUUGAAUGGAGCGAGUUUUAUGGAUUUCCAUUUCAUUGGUUACAAGUAUCUUGGUCUAGACAAGUUUCGUCCAUGUUUUCUGUUUCCAAAAUGAAUUAAUAUAUAUGACAUAACAGGUUCUUGUUGCAAAUUAGGAAUUGAAUGUUUAUGUGAAAAGGAUGUAAUAAUCUGAUCUUUUCUUUGUUGCAUCCAUAUUCUGCAAAGAUCUUUUUGCCCUGUCUUUGUUCACCUCCUAGGUCUCAGUAUUUUGUCGGUUUGCUUCUGGUAGAGUUUGAUCUCCUGCUGUCCCAUUUUCCCUUUGCCCUCACUAUUCCUUCCCUUCCUCUCUAGCUUUAGAAAUUGCAUUUAGAGCCUUGGUUGUUGUAGUAGAUCACAAGCAUACUUUAACAUUAUGUUCAAGCUAUUGAAUUUUAGGUUCAAAUUUCUAGUGUUAAAGUUUCAUUAAAGUUUUGAUUUCUUAUAUAAGCCUUGUCUUACCCCCUCUUUUUUAGAGGAAGAGGGGGUUUGGGGAGAUAAAAAUAGCACUUAUAGUAAAUGUAUGUAUGUAUACGGUAUAUAUAAACAUUGUCUUAAAAAAUAUGCUAUAUACGAUAUUGGUAUCAAUCUUUUUGCC
Molecule: long non-coding RNA, 1520 nt
Filed under: Durio zibethinus
Lineage: Eukaryota; Viridiplantae; Streptophyta; Magnoliopsida; Malvales; Malvaceae
Description: long non-coding RNA (DZIB_LNC001569)
Source: RNAcentral